RNAcentral lists this long non-coding RNA (743 nucleotides) under Cyanistes caeruleus (blue tit). RNAcentral's name for it is "lncRNA (ENSCCEG00000014444.1)". Lineage: Eukaryota; Metazoa; Chordata; Aves; Passeriformes; Paridae. The record is from RNAcentral.
AGUGAUCUGUGUUCCUUUUGUUCUAGGUUCGACAAAUGUCUCAAGCAUGAAGGAUAAACAAAGUUAUAGUAAAGCAUACAUGAUGAGUUCCAAACUUCUUGUUCUUUGGCUUCUGCCAUCAAUGUAAUGACUGUAAACUGGUAUUUUCACUAUUAAUUUGAAUCUGUAGUUUGAAACCUCUGCAAUGAUACAUAGAGUGAGUGCAUGAAGAAUUGAGACCUGUUACCACUCCUCUGCAGUUGUGUUUCAGAUUUAAUGGACAGCUGAGCAACUCUUUAGAAGAUCUUUUAUCUUUCCUCCAUGUCCAUUUAGAUCAACCCUAAGCAAGCAGACUGAAAGCUGCCACUGUCCUUUGACCUGUGUAAGGGAAGCUGAAGAGUGUGACUUAUGAGGAAACAUCAAGUAAAAUAGUCUAUGGUGAAAGCUUGCCUGAGUGGUUCAAUGGGGAACCCUCUUGUUAUAGCAGUGCUCUGAGGUCAUGCUGCUUGUCUGUACAACAGAGUCUAGUAUGACCCUCUUGGCACAUCCCCAGCUCUGGUCUGGUUUGUUCCUCAUUGUGGUCUCCAGUGUCCAGCUCUGACUGGUCUGGGCACUGAUGCACUUUGUGACCUAAAUCCUGCUGGACAUCUCUUUAUACCAGAAGAGGCAGCCAUAAUUCCCCUGAAGCUGCAGUGCAGUCAGAAACCAGAACCUACCUCUAAAGAACAGCUGUGAUCCAGAACGGUGUUUACCUGUGAAGGAUG